RNAcentral lists this ribosomal RNA (429 nucleotides) under bacterium. RNAcentral describes it as "partial 16S ribosomal RNA". It matches the Rfam family "Bacterial small subunit ribosomal RNA", at positions 355 to 776 of the family's 1533-position model. The record is from RNAcentral.
UAGGGAAUCUUCGGCAAUGGGGGCAACCCUGACCGAGCAACGCCGCGUGAGUGAAGAAGGUUUUCGGAUCGUAAAGCUCCGUUGUAAGAGAAGAACGUGUGUGAGAGUGGAAAGUUCACACAGUGACGGUAACUUACCAGAAAGGGACGGCUAACUACGUGCCAGCAGCCGCGGUAAUACGUAGGUCCCGAGCGUUGUCCGGAUUUAUUGGGCGUAAAGCGAGCGCAGGCGGUUUAAUAAGUCUGAAGUUAAAGGCAGUGGCUUAACCAUUGUUCGCUUUGGAAACUGUUAAACUUGAGUGCAGAAGGGGAGAGUGGAAUUCCAUGUGUAGCGGUGAAAUGCGUAGAUAUAUGGAGGAACACCGGUGGCGAAAGCGGCUCUCUGGUCUGUAACUGACGCUGAGGCUCGAAAGCGUGGGGAGCAAACAGG